Molecule: ribosomal RNA, 419 nt
Filed under: uncultured bacterium
Lineage: Bacteria
Description: bacterial SSU rRNA
Rfam family: Bacterial small subunit ribosomal RNA
Source: RNAcentral
UACGCUGGCGGCACGCCUAACACAUGCAAGUCGAACGAAGUAGCAAUACUUAGUGGCAGACGGGUGAGUAACAUGUAGGUAUCUGCCCUUUGGCCUGGAAUAACACGAGGAAACUUGUGCUAAUACCGGAUAAGUCUUUACGGAGAAAGCUUUAUGCACCAUUGGAUGAGCCUGCACUUGAUUAGUUUGUUGGUGGGGUAAUGGCCUACCAAGACUGUGAUCAAUAGCGGAUUUGAGAGGAUGAUCAGCCACAUUGGGACUGAGACACGGCCCAAACUCCUACGGGAGGCAGCAGUGGGGAAUCUUGCACAAUGGAGGAAACUCUGAUGCAGCGAUGCCGCGUGAGUGAAGAAGGCCCUUGGGUUGUAAAGCUCUUUCGUCGGGGAAGAAAAUGACUGUACCCGAAUAAGAAGGUCCGG